Molecule: ribosomal RNA, 759 nt
Filed under: Haemophilus influenzae
Lineage: Bacteria; Pseudomonadati; Pseudomonadota; Gammaproteobacteria; Pasteurellales; Pasteurellaceae
Description: bacterial SSU rRNA
Rfam family: Bacterial small subunit ribosomal RNA
Source: RNAcentral
AUUGAACGCUGGCGGCAGGCUUAACACAUGCAAGUCGAACGGUAGCAGGAGGAAGCUUGCUUUCUUGCUGACGAGUGGCGGACGGGUGAGUAAUGCUUGGGAAUCUGGCUUAUGGAGGGGGAUAACUACGGGAAACUGUAGCUAAUACCGCGUAGAAUCGGAAGAUGAAAGUGCGGGACCGCAAGGCCGCAUGCCAUGAGAUGAGCCCAAGUGGGAUUAGGUAGUUGGUGGGGUAAAGGCCUACCAAGCCUGCGAUCUCUAGCUGGUCUGAGAGGAUGGCCAGCCACACUGGAACUGAGACACGGUCCAGACUCCUACGGGAGGCAGCAGUGGGGAAUAUUGCGCAAUGGGGGAAACCCUGACGCAGCCAUGCCGCGUGAAUGAAGAAGGCCUUCGGGUUGUAAAGUUCUUUCGGUAUUGAGGAAGGUUGAUGUGUUAAUAGUACAUCAAAUUGACGUUAAAUACAGAAGAAGCACCGGCUAACUCCGUGCCAGCAGCCGCGGUAAUACGGAGGGUGCGAGCGUUAAUCGGAAUAACUGGGCGUAAAGGGCACGCAGGCGGUUAUUUAAGUGAGGUGUGAAAGCCCCGGGCUUAACCUGGGAAUUGCAUUUCAGACUGGGUAACUAGAGUACUUUAGGGAGGGGUAGAAUUCCACGUGUAGCGGUGAAAUGCGUAGAGAUGUGGAGGAAUACCGAAGGCGAAGGCAGCCCCUUGGGAAUGUACCGACGCUCAUGUGCGAAAGCGUGGGGAGCAAACAGG